UUCCCAUAAAGGACGGUACACCAAUUCUUAUCUGUCACCUCCCUUGGAAUUUUCUCGUCCAUUAAAAAACCCAACUAAAAUAUCAACAACCGACUUAAAUACGUUGGCAACCAUCUCACCGUCCAAUCGGCAUCUAUAAUUCUAAUCUCAGCCGUUGAUUCUAUCCUCGACUUUCAAUAAAGUCUCUCCCCUCUGCCGUUCAUAUCCCUCAUUCAUUCAUCCUCUAUCUCUUCAAUAUUCCCUCUUCUCUGUAAAACUCUGAAUUUCUCAGAUCUACGUUUCCGAGCUCGGAAUUAUGGAUUUCUUUCAUUCGAUUCGAACAAAUCGUUCGACGAUCUAUCAUUCGACGUCGAUUUCUUCGUUGUUCAUCGGUGGAUGAUGUCUCAAAUUUGAUCAAUCUGCUAAUUUCAAGCGGAGAUGCUGUUUGAUCUGUGUUCUUCCGUCAACGGAGGGGAACCGUGGAGAUCUUAUGGAUACGAGAACGGAUUAAUGAUUUUAUUUGAAUUGAUGGUUCCCGGUUGAAGGUUUCGCAUUAUGUAGCCAUCUGUUAACUGGAGAUUUCGUCGAAUUGUUACCUUUCAUUUGACCGAGGUUCUAUGAAGCAAAAGUGGGAUAUGCAAGUGGAUGUGGAUCUACACUUGUUGAAGCGACACAAACAUGGUGCUUGUAUAAAAUUUGGAAAGUGAUGUUAAUUAGAUUUGAAUCUGGUAGGAUUCAUUUCUGUGUGCGAGGUGAGCGGAAAAAAAUGUGAGUGAAAGUAUCGGACCUUUGCCAUGUCGGGUGCGCUUGCUUGGCAGGUCAACCUACUUAAUAAAAAAGAAACGUUUUUGUGUUUGUAGGGGAAGUAGGCACGGGGUUUUUGCCCAGCUCUUCCCCUCUGUGUGUGCUUGCGUCUCUUUUCCCUCCUCACCCUCUCUCCCCCUCUUUCUACGCCCGUUUCGAUUAUUAGACAUUCGCUCAUUCACAGCUCUGGCUUAUCAUCAUACGCUUCAAUCGACUUCCUCCAGCAUUCGGAACAACGUUUUGCAAGGUAUAUUCUUAUCGCUAAUACUCCGUUUCAAUUUCAAUUUGCAGUUGAUUCAUCAUAUUAACAUGUUGUCCUUUAAUUUACACUAAUAAGUCCCAUCUGUUCAGUUCACAUCAGAAUAAUAUCAAUUCAUAUACGCAGUAACAAAUCGAAGACUGUAGUAGAGUAUAAAAUAUGAGCAACUAUUACAUGGUAAACUAAUAUGAUACAAGCGGAUCCCAAUGGGUAGUUUAUAAUGUAUAACAACUAGAUUACAUGGUAACGUACCCAUCUAUUUACGGCUAGGUUUCGAAUAAUAUCCAUCUGCUAACGAUAGGGUAUAAUGUAAAUUUAGCCUCUAUACAACCAUCCGCUUCAUUGUUAUAACAUGGUAACCUUAUAUUAACAAUUAUUUUAACAUUUUAAAUCACUUUCUAAACCUCAUUACAUAGUACAACUAGCUUUCUCGUUGGUGCAAUUCCAAUAUCAAUGCGUCCAUCAGUACCGUUAGUGUUCUCUUUCAGUUUGUGUUUCUAACAUCAUUUAACCAUCAUUUGUCGUCUCUUGCUGCAUUCAAAUCUGUUGGAACCUUUAUGUUCUAAUGGAGUUUUAUCAAUUAUGGAUUACAAUUUUUUUAUAUAACCAAUCUUUCGACAAUAUCUCAGGAGUGCUAUAUUGACAAUGUUGUCGAUGAUAUGCCUUUGAGAAUAUCUGUUGUAAGUAGUUGUAUUAUGUAUACAAUGUUAGUUUAGUAGUCUAUGUAGUAUGAUAAUGUAUGUAGAUUAGCAGUCAGCGGCUUCAAUUGAGUAGUACCUUUGAUCGUGGGAUGCUUUUUGUAAUGUUCCUCAAUUGUGCGAGUUAUACACUGGUUCGUGGAAGAUGGUGCAGCAGGUGAGGCAGCGGAAGAUAGCCAUGGUGAAGGCCGUGGUGGUGAGUUGAACAUGGUUGUGAUACAUGGGUUUCAUUUAUCAAACUAUGAUCAUUGAGAAUUUCUUCCCCUUUUGUUGUGGUAUUUCUUCUGAUUGUAGUUUACAAUUCUCAAGCGUGUGUGAUCUGGAAAUACAUUUCCUGUAAAUGUCUAUUUGAUUCGUUGAGGUGGUGCUCCAUCUGUUGAAGCGCGGAGCGGAAGACAGAGUAUAAUAUGUUCUUUUCAGAUAAAUUAUACACAGCAUAUUUUUUGAGUUGACAAUUCACUGGAUAAGUUUCUCUUUCUCCUUUUCCUCUUGAACUAACUUCAAUAUGGUAGUGUUUUUAGUA
Spinacia oleracea (spinach) is the source of this 2263-nucleotide long non-coding RNA. RefSeq lists it as uncharacterized. Lineage: Eukaryota; Viridiplantae; Streptophyta; Magnoliopsida; Caryophyllales; Amaranthaceae. The record is from RefSeq and is a predicted model, not a curated record. The transcript has 2 exons.